AAAUUACGAAGCAGUGAACUAACAGUGGAGGGAGGGAGAUCGCGGUUCCGGCUAAACCCUACGUUAUCGAUUCGCUGACAUUAGAACAUGGCGUGGAGUGCGACGAUGAUCGGAGCCCUUCUGGGCCUCGGCACCCAGAUGUACUCCAAUGCUCUCCGUAAACUCCCUUACAUGCGCCAUCCUUGGGAGCACUUGGUUGGAAUGGGACUGGGAGUAGUGUUCGUCAAUCAGCUGGUCAAAUGGGACGCUAAGCUCCAGGAGGACCUUGACAAGAUGCUCGAGAAGGCCAAAGCCGCCAACGAGCGCCGCUACUUUGAUGACGACGAUUGAUUGCAAAUCACCCUAUGCAUUGUGGCUUUUUUUUUAUGAAGUCAUCUGUG
RNAcentral lists this unclassified non-coding RNA (380 nucleotides) under Hevea brasiliensis (rubber tree). The record is from RNAcentral. Lineage: Eukaryota; Viridiplantae; Streptophyta; Magnoliopsida; Malpighiales; Euphorbiaceae.